GUCUUUGUAGCUUAUCAACUAAAGCAUGGCACUGAAGAUGCCAAGAUGACUGCCAUACGCGUCCAAAGACA
This 71-nucleotide transfer RNA is filed under the name Sternula albifrons. RNAcentral's name for it is "tRNA-Phe". It matches the Rfam family "tRNA". Rfam says of the family: Transfer RNA (tRNA) molecules are approximately 80 nucleotides in length. Their secondary structure includes four short double-helical elements and three loops (D, anti-codon, and T loops). The record is from RNAcentral. Lineage: Eukaryota; Metazoa; Chordata; Aves; Charadriiformes; Laridae. RNAcentral also lists the same sequence under 1 other name.